UACGUAGGGUGCAAGCGUUGUCCGGAAUUAUUGGGCGUAAAGAGCUCGUAGGCGGUCUGUCGCGUCGGAUGUGGAAAUCCAGGGCUCAACCCUGGACCUGCAUUCGAUACGGGCAGACUAGAGUUCGGUAGGGGAGACUGGAAUUCCUGGUGUAGCGGUGAAAUGCGCAGAUAUCAGGAGGAACACCGGUGGCGAAGGCGGGUCUCUGGGCCGAAACUGACGCUGAGGAGCGAAAGCGUGGGGAGCGAACAGG
RNAcentral lists this ribosomal RNA (253 nucleotides) under uncultured bacterium. RNAcentral describes it as "partial 16S ribosomal RNA". It matches the Rfam family "Bacterial small subunit ribosomal RNA", at positions 524 to 776 of the family's 1533-position model. The record is from RNAcentral.